AGCAAUAAAGUAUUUAUUAAUUAAAGUAUGUACAUUGUUUUUAGACAUAAUGCUACAAUAUAUUUAAUACACUACAGUAUGCUGAAAACACAAAUUUAUAUGCACUGUAAAACCAAAAUAAAAUUGUAUAACUCACUUUAUUGCAGUAUUCACUUUAAUGUAGUUGUCUGGAACUGAACAUAUAAUAUCUCCAAGGUAUGCCUUUGAGAGUGUACACAGAGGCCAUGAACCCAAAAGACCUGUGCUAAUUUUGUACACACAACUCCAUGCCCAAGACUAAGGCUUUGCCUCUUCCUGUGUCUGCUUGCAGGGGAAGGUGGCCUAGAGGAUACAGAUUAGGGCAGACAGUUUCCGAGGUACUUCUUACCAACUAUAGCUUCAGCCUUGUAGGCAGGACCCCCAGACACCAUCUCUGAAUAUUUUGUUCUGCAUUGAUCUUACCUUUUCUGAAAUAGCUUUAAUUCUUUGUGUCUAUAUCAUUUACUUUCAUCCUUAAUCAUAUGUGUUCUCAAUUCCUAGUAUCUGGGUUCUCCAAUCUAAUUGGUUAUAACCUACAUAUUCACAGCUUUCACAGGUGUGAAGCUUCCAUCAGUAGUAACCGUAGCAACAGGUCAGAGAGGCUUCACAAAACCUGGCUGUAUGUAAUUAAGGAAAACCUGGAUGUGGAUUCAAGACAGGGUGCUUAGACAAGACGACACAGGCUCUGAGCCCUACCACUGCACUUUCUGAGGACUUUUGCAGAAGGUGGCAGAUUUUCUUCCUCUUCUGGCCUCCUUCUUUAUUCUCUCUUAAACAUUUUUGCCUGCUCUCAAUUGGCUUUCUUCCCGAGGAAGUUGCUGGGGGACCUGGAAAAGACUUCUUGCAGGGGUAGGGCCCCAAGCCAAGGGAGUGCAUCCUGAAUAGGUAGGAAGUGGCCCUAGUACCUUCCUUUAGGGAGACUGAUUCAGAGGCCAAACCUGCUCUGGUCAGACUCUCAUUCAGACAUGGGAGAAGCUGAUCAGUCUACUUGCAGGAAUGUGCUCUUAUCACUGGGACCAUGGAGUACAGACCUGGGACCACCAUCACUGUAGCCACCCAGGCACUGGACCCUUGCUUGUUGGGCCUCAAACAGGCCUCAUGGGUGAAAAGGCAGGAGCUAUACACACAUGGUUUGGGAAGCAGUCAGCCUAGGGGCUUUUUUAUUCCUUAGCACUUAUUCUUAUCUGAAAUCAACUCAUUUAUCUCCUUGUUUCCUUCUUUCUUGUCAGGUUUUCUCACCAGAAUGUUAAGCUCUGUGGAAGCAGAAGCCUGCCUAUCUAGCUUUUUCCUAUCUUCCAGGUGCCUAGAACAGUGCAGGGAGUAUUAAAGAAGUGAAUGAGUGAAUGAAUUAAUGAUGAGUGGGGUUCCAGUCAUUAUUUGUGGCCCAGACUCAGGUCACUUCCAUACAUAUGCACUAUGAGCUCAGGCUUUUGUUGGGCUUUGGGGUAACAAAACAUACCCCUGGGAGAAAUUGAGUGGCAAAGGACACAGCAGGGCAUGUUCAGGUUCUCCUAGCUCUCUGAGUCCACUCACCAAGGGAAGGCCAUCCAUCCCUAUUCCUGCUUCUUGGAAGGAAAGAUUCAGGUUUAUGCAGUCCUAGGCUCAACAACCACAGUUCCCAUAGACUCCCAUCCAUGUUCCACAGACACAUUUGCUCUGGAAUAUAACCAUGGAUGAGAAGUGUUUGUUAUGUAUGAAGGCUGUUUCUAAAUAAACAUGAAAGUCCUUUCUGGAAGCCCACUGCUUUUCUUUCUGAGCGGGGAGCAAAUGAGCAGUGCUGGGUCUCCCCAUUGGAUCAGGGGCAGCUCCUCAUUUGCUACAUUUAUCUUUACCAAAGCCUCUACCACUCAGGGCCAUAAGUGAUGGGUCCUCAUUGCCGCCGUUGCUGCAUCUCCAUUGGCCUCACAGCAGGACAUCCUGUCUCAUGCUGGAGAGGGGUACAUACAUGUGACCUGAAGCCUUGCACACUGAGCAGAGGUCAAAAACUAGAUGGAAGAGGCCUCCCCUGGUAAAAUGUUAGGCAUGGGAAUCACAGAGACAAUUGAGCCAGCAGCCCACCAGGAGGCCACAUCAUGGUGAGGAUGACACAGAGGAAGAGACCAUCACAAUGCAAUAAUGGGAUCUGAAUUAAGCAGCUAGAAGUAGGCUUUGGGAGCCCAGAGGAGUGAGAGAUGUAUGACUGCAGGCAUUGGGGAAACGUCCUGACAAAUAGGUGCUGGACAUUAAAGGGUGAGCAGGAGUUUGUUAAGUAGAGAGGAAGAAAAGAAUUCCAGACAGAAGAGAGAACACUAUACGGAAGCUCAGGAAUAUAGAGAGAGUUUAGUGUGCACAGGCAAUCACAAGGAUCUUUCUGUUGGCUGUACUAGGGGGAGCAAGGGUCCAGGGGCCAGAGAUAAGAUCAAGAGUAGCAACACUGCACAGGGACUUGAAAGAGUGGGCAGGAGGAUAACCCUUUGGGUAAUUGGAGUUUGAGCAGAGGAACUCUGUGAUUCCAAGUGCAUUUUGAAGCUCACACUCUGGCAGAUGAGAAUGGAUGAGAGAACUGCAAAGUGAUAUUGGAGAAUUCAUCAGGAGGAUUUUGCAAUAGGGAAGGAAAAUUGAUGAAGCCCUUUGUUAUGAGGUAGUGGGGGUAUAGAGGAAGAGAAAGAUCUGAGGAAAAUGAGAUGGAGCUGACAGAUGUGCAUCGUGGGAUACAGGAGAUGUGACUGCUAGGGCCUGGCUAGUGACAACACAGAGUGUCAAGGGAGUUAAGGACUGAACUGUGUUCCCUAGACCUGUCAAGUAGGAGGCCAAAAAGGAAAGCAGGCAUGACGGCUGAGUGGGGAUGUAACCAGGCCACAGCUGGUGGAGCAGGGAUAGAGGAGAGCCACCAAGUGUGACUACUUAAGAAAAGCUUGGCUGGAGAGUAAAGAAGAGAGGUGAU
Phyllostomus discolor (pale spear-nosed bat) is the source of this 2941-nucleotide long non-coding RNA. RefSeq lists it as uncharacterized. NCBI's taxonomy places the organism in Eukaryota, Metazoa, Chordata, Mammalia, Chiroptera, Phyllostomidae. The transcript has 3 exons. The record is from RefSeq and is a predicted model, not a curated record.